This 1478-nucleotide ribosomal RNA is filed under the name Klebsiella pneumoniae. Its description in RNAcentral is "bacterial SSU rRNA". It matches the Rfam family "Bacterial small subunit ribosomal RNA". The record is from RNAcentral. Lineage: Bacteria; Pseudomonadati; Pseudomonadota; Gammaproteobacteria; Enterobacterales; Enterobacteriaceae.
UCAGAUUGAACGCUGGCGGCAGGCCUAACACAUGCAAGUCGAGCGGUAGCACAGAGAGCUUGCUCUCGGGUGACGAGCGGCGGACGGGUGAGUAAUGUCUGGGAAACUGCCUGAUGGAGGGGGAUAACUACUGGAAACGGUAGCUAAUACCGCAUAAUGUCGCAAGACCAAAGUGGGGGACCUUCGGGCCUCAUGCCAUCAGAUGUGCCCAGAUGGGAUUAGCUAGUAGGUGGGGUAACGGCUCACCUAGGCGACGAUCCCUAGCUGGUCUGAGAGGAUGACCAGCCACACUGGAACUGAGACACGGUCCAGACUCCUACGGGAGGCAGCAGUGGGGAAUAUUGCACAAUGGGCGCAAGCCUGAUGCAGCCAUGCCGCGUGUGUGAAGAAGGCCUUCGGGUUGUAAAGCACUUUCAGCGGGGAGGAAGGCGUUAAGGUUAAUAACCUUGGCGAUUGACGUUACCCGCAGAAGAAGCACCGGCUAACUCCGUGCCAGCAGCCGCGGUAAUACGGAGGGUGCAAGCGUUAAUCGGAAUUACUGGGCGUAAAGCGCACGCAGGCGGUCUGUCAAGUCGGAUGUGAAAUCCCCGGGCUCAACCUGGGAACUGCAUUCGAAACUGGCAGGCUAGAGUCUUGUAGAGGGGGGUAGAAUUCCAGGUGUAGCGGUGAAAUGCGUAGAGAUCUGGAGGAAUACCGGUGGCGAAGGCGGCCCCCUGGACAAAGACUGACGCUCAGGUGCGAAAGCGUGGGGAGCAAACAGGAUUAGAUACCCUGGUAGUCCACGCCGUAAACGAUGUCGAUUUGGAGGUUGUGCCCUUGAGGCGUGGCUUCCGGAGCUAACGCGUUAAAUCGACCGCCUGGGGAGUACGGCCGCAAGGUUAAAACUCAAAUGAAUUGACGGGGGCCCGCACAAGCGGUGGAGCAUGUGGUUUAAUUCGAUGCAACGCGAAGAACCUUACCUGGUCUUGACAUCCACAGAACUUUCCAGAGAUGGAUUGGUGCCUUCGGGAACUGUGAGACAGGUGCUGCAUGGCUGUCGUCAGCUCGUGUUGUGAAAUGUUGGGUUAAGUCCCGCAACGAGCGCAACCCUUAUCCUUUGUUGCCAGCGGUUCGGCCGGGAACUCAAAGGAGACUGCCAGUGAUAAACUGGAGGAAGGUGGGGAUGACGUCAAGUCAUCAUGGCCCUUACGACCAGGGCUACACACGUGCUACAAUGGCAUAUACAAAGAGAAGCGACCUCGCGAGAGCAAGCGGACCUCAUAAAGUAUGUCGUAGUCCGGAUUGGAGUCUGCAACUCGACUCCAUGAAGUCGGAAUCGCUAGUAAUCGUAGAUCAGAAUGCUACGGUGAAUACGUUCCCGGGCCUUGUACACACCGCCCGUCACACCAUGGGAGUGGGUUGCAAAAGAAGUAGGUAGCUUAACCUUCGGGAGGGCGCUUACCACUUUGUGAUUCAUGACUGGGGUGAAGUCUAAAAGG